Molecule: long non-coding RNA, 2147 nt
Organism: Vombatus ursinus (common wombat)
Lineage: Eukaryota; Metazoa; Chordata; Mammalia; Diprotodontia; Vombatidae
Exons: 3
Source: RefSeq, a predicted model, not a curated record
UUUUUAAAUCUCAGCAAAGGAGAAAGUUAACGCCCAGAGAAGCCAAACAUACAAGAUUAAUGAUCUCCACGUACUGCAGGGAGAAGCCAACACCAGCUGGGGAAUAGGCCUGCCAUGGACAAUGAAGGUGAUGCAGGCAAAGCUGCUGAUGUGUUCAUUCAGGGCUGAAUUUAAAUCAUGGCUGAGGAUUAUACGGGAUCUCUAGGAACCACAUGAUUGGAAGUGCCUACAUCUGUUUCAAGCCUGGGGAGCACCGGUAUGUACAAGCUAAUCGCUCAGGGAGGGACAAUUGAGGGUUGACAGGAAAUCUUGGUUCCUCUCUGUUCCCUUACCUGUCCAAACAGAGAGAGAGGAGGACAGAAACUUAUCUCUGCUGCAUUCUUCAGUUCCUGUCAUUCUAUCUCAAAGAAGCCUGGGGGUCUUCAGAAGGUUCUGACUGUUUCUCAUUCUCUGGGCUGGAGACUACUCUAAAGACGUGCAUAUAAAUGUGUCUUUCUCACAACCAUGUAGUUGCCAGAUGUGGAAAUGCUGUUUGGUGACAUUUAUCAAGUACAGAACAACAAAAAAUAAUACGUUCCUUGCAAAAAAAAAAUAAAUUAAGAAGUUGGACUAGAUGACGUCUCCUCCCUCUCUAAAUUCUAUGAAGAGCUCUUUCAUCUUGCUGUACUCUGGUGUCUUACCUCUCCCUAAAGCCAUCAAGGUCAUCUUCAAAAAAGCCCUCACUUGGUCCAUGCAUUCCCUGUGGCCGUCACUCUUUUGUGGUGAAACUCCUUGGAAAGUCCUCUACAACAGGCACCUCCACUUCCUUUCCUCUCACUAUCUCCUUAACUCUCUGUGAUCUGUCUUCCAACCUUAUCAUUCCACUGAAACCGCUCUUUCCAAGGUUUCUAAUGAUCUUGAUUGCCAAAUCCAUUGACCUUUCCUCAGUCCUCAUUGUUCUUGGCUUCUCUGCAGACUUCGAUACUGUUGGCCAUCCUCUUCUCCUUGGUUUUCUCUUCUUUCUAGGUUUUCAUGACACUGCUCUCUCUUGGCUCUCCUCCUGCCUGUCUGACCAUUCUUUCUUGGUCUUCUUUGCUGGAUCUUCUUGUGGAAGAAUACAUGGUCAAUACAUGGGUGUCCCCUAAGGCUCAACCCUGGGCCUUCUUCUUUGUUCCUCUAUACUAUUUCCCAUGGUGAUUUUAUCAAAUCCCAUUGAUUCAAUUACCGUCUCCAUGCAGAUGAUUCUCAGGGAUCAAUUUGCCCAGCCCUAACCUCUCUCCUGACCUCCAUAUCUCACAUAUGACUGCCUAUUGGACAUCUUAAACUGGACGUCCCAUAGAUUUCCUAAACUCAGCACGUGCAAAACUGAACUCAUUGUCUUUUCUAUCAAACGCUUCUCUCUUCCUAACUUCCCGAUUACUGUUGAAGUCACCACCAUCCUUUCAGUCACCUUCCAGGAUGAUCCUUGACUCCUCACUGUUUCUCACCCUGUCACACACCCCCUAUCCAAUAAGUUGCCAAGUUCUGUCCUUUCUAUAUUUGCAACAUCUCCCAUAUACACCCCCAUCUCUUCUCCAAUGCUGCCACCACUGGUGCAGGCCCUUAGCACCUCAAGCCUGGACAAUUGCAGCAGCUUGCUGGUGGUCUUCGUACCUCAAAUGUCUCUCUACUCCAGUUUAUCUUCCAUUGAGCUAUUAGAUUGAUCUUCCUAAAGUGCCGGUUUCAUUAUGUCACUCCCCUAUUCAGUAAAUUCCAGCGGCUCGCCUAUCACCUCUAAGAUGUAAAAUGUAAAAUCCUCUUUGACUUUUAAGCUCCUUCAUCAUCCGGCCCCUUCCUAACUUUCCAGUCUUCUUACACCUUUCUCCCUUCCAUAUACUUUAUGAUCCAAUGAUACUGGCCCUCCUGGCGGUCCUUUACAUAACAUACUCCCAUCUCUGGGCAUUUGUAGCUGUCCCCCAUGCCCAGAACCCUUUCCCUCUUCAACUCUGUCUCCUAGCUCAAAUGGCCUCCUUCCGUUCUCAGCUAAAGUCUCACCUUCUAUAAGGAGUCUUGCUCAGUCCUCCUUAAUUUUAACACCUUCACUUUGAGAUUUUCUUUAAUUUAUCCUAUCUCUAUCCUAUUUAUACACAGUUGUUGGCAUAUUUUCUCCCCUAUUAGACGGUGAGCUC